Molecule: non-coding RNA, 569 nt
Filed under: Hovenia dulcis (Japanese raisin tree)
Lineage: Eukaryota; Viridiplantae; Streptophyta; Magnoliopsida; Rosales; Rhamnaceae
Description: partial transfer RNA-Leu(UAA)
Rfam family: Group I catalytic intron (bases 1-494)
About the family: Group I catalytic introns are large self-splicing ribozymes.
Source: RNAcentral
UUAAUUGGAUGAGCUUGGUAUGGAAACUACCAAGUGAUAACUUUCAAAUUCAGAGAAACCCUGGAAUUACAAAUGGGCAAUCCUGAGCCAAAUCCUGUUUUCUGAAAACAAACAAGGAUUCAGAAAGUGAUAAUAAAAAAGGAUAGGUGCAGAGACUCAAUGGAAGCUGUUCUAACAAAUGGAGUUGGCUGCGCUGCGUUAGUAAAGGAAUCCUUCCAUCGAAACUCCAGAAAGGAUGAAGAAUAAACCUAUAUAUACGUAUACGUACUGAAAUACUAUCUCCAAACCAAAUGAUUAAUGACGACCCGAAUCUUUUUUUUAUAUUUAUAUGUUUAUAUGAAAAAUGAAAGAAUUGCUGUGAAUCGAUUCCAAGUAAAAAAAUGGAAUAUUCAUUGAUCAAAUCAUUUACUCCAUCGUAAUCUGAUAGAUCUUUUGAAAAAUUUAUUAAUCGGACGAGAAUAAAGAUAGAGUCCCAUUCUACAUGUCAAUAUCGGCAACAAUGAAAUUUAUAGUAAGAGGAAAAUCCGUCGACUUUAGAAAUCGUGAGGGUUCAAGUCCCUCUAUCCCCA